RNAcentral lists this ribosomal RNA (497 nucleotides) under uncultured bacterium. RNAcentral's name for it is "partial 16S ribosomal RNA". It matches the Rfam family "Bacterial small subunit ribosomal RNA", at positions 28 to 507 of the family's 1533-position model. The record is from RNAcentral.
GAUGAACGCUGGCGGCGUGCCUAAUACAUGCAAGUCGAGCGAACAGACGAGGAGCCUGCUCCUCUGACGUUAGCGGCGGACGGGUGAGUAACACGUGGAUAACCUACCUAUAAGACUGGGAUAACUUCGGGAAACCGGAGCUAAUACCGGAUAAUAUAUUGAACCGCAUGGUUCAAUAGUGAAAGACGGUUUUGCUGUCACUUAUAGAUGGAUCCGCGCCGCAUUAGCUAGUUGGUAAGGUAACGGCUUACCAAGGCAACGAUGCGUAGCCGACCUGAGAGGGUGAUCGGUCACACUGGAACUGAGACACGGUCCAGACUCCUACGGGAGGCAGCAGUAGGGAAUCUUCCGCAAUGGGCGAAAGCCUGACGGAGCAACGCCGCGUGAGUGAUGAAGGUCUUCGGAUCGUAAAACUCUGUUAUUAGGGAAGAACAAAUGUGUAAGUAACUAUGCACGUCUUGACGGUACCUAAUCAGAAAGCCACGGCUAACUACGUG